GGGGCUGUAGCUCAGUUGGGAGAGCGUCGGAAUCGCACUCCGAAGGUCGAGGGUUCGACUCCCUUCAGCUCCA
This 73-nucleotide transfer RNA is filed under the name bacterium. Its description in RNAcentral is "tRNA-Ala". It matches the Rfam family "tRNA". From Rfam's summary of the family: Transfer RNA (tRNA) molecules are approximately 80 nucleotides in length. Their secondary structure includes four short double-helical elements and three loops (D, anti-codon, and T loops). Further hydrogen bonds mediate the characteristic L-shaped molecular structure. tRNAs have two regions of fundamental functional importance: the anti-codon, which is responsible for specific mRNA codon recognition, and the 3' end, to which the tRNAs corresponding amino acid is attached (by aminoacyl-tRNA synthetases). tRNAs cope with the degeneracy of the genetic code in two manners: having more than one tRNA (with a specific anti-codon) for a particular amino acid; and 'wobble' base-pairing, i.e. permitting non-standard base-pairing at the 3rd anti-codon position. RNAcentral also lists the same sequence under 2 other names. The record is from RNAcentral.